AUUCCAGCUCCCCUUUCGUCUCUUCCCGUUGUUGCCGUUCCCCCGCUCGUCGUUGGCUUUCUGGCAGGAGUGACUGACCACACACUCUGUUUGUGAGUUGUGUCAUUCUGGCCAUCCUUGGUAAGAUCCUUUUUGGCAUUAAGUUGUCGGGAAGGGGAUGACCAUCGUUUACUGUGAAAAAAUUAGAGUGUUUAAAGCAGGCUUAUGCCGUUGAAUAUAUUAGCAUGGAAUAAUAAGAUAGGACUUUGAGUCUAUUUUGUUGGUUUGCGAGUCAAAGUAAUGAUUAAUAGGGACAGUUGGGGGUAUUCGUAUUUCAUUGUCAGAGGUGAAAUUCUUGGAUUUCUGAAAGACGAACUACUGCGAAAGCAUUUACCAAGGAUGUUUUCAUUG
This 390-nucleotide ribosomal RNA is filed under the name Skeletonema sp. Its description in RNAcentral is "partial small subunit ribosomal RNA". It matches the Rfam family "Eukaryotic small subunit ribosomal RNA", at positions 582 to 975 of the family's 1831-position model. Lineage: Eukaryota; Bacillariophyta; Thalassiosirophyceae; Thalassiosirales; Thalassiosiraceae. The record is from RNAcentral.